This 2030-nucleotide long non-coding RNA is filed under the name Gadus morhua (Atlantic cod). RNAcentral describes it as "lncRNA (ENSGMOG00000032285.1)". Lineage: Eukaryota; Metazoa; Chordata; Actinopteri; Gadiformes; Gadidae. The record is from RNAcentral.
GUCACGCUGGCAAUCCGCGCAGAAAAUGUGCGUAAUAACUCGGGGGUAUCGUCCGCCGAGAAAAAAAAAGGCGUUCAAAGCUGCGCACACCAUCUGGGCGUUGUCAAUGGCGACGGAGCCACGCAGGAGCUGUCCGCGUGCUGAGUCGCUCGUGCAGCGUCACCACGAGACGCCUGCCAAGGGCUUGAGCUUCACACACCGCUCGGAGGGUAAGUCGGUUGGUUUUCUGGAACCGACGGAGGAGACCUCGGCGGGAACGACUGCGUGGGCACGUAAUGUUCCGGAAGGGUCCCCGGGGAAAAGCGGUAUUUAAAGAGGUGUCCCAGUUCAGAGGCCUGGAGGUGAAGCGGCGGUACGACCUCUGACCCCUGCUGGGAAUCUCCAUCUCCGGAGCCAAAGGGGUCAAGGGUUACUGUGCUGAGUUAAAACCGUCCUCUCGCUAGAGAUGUUGAACUGGUGAACCAACCGACGGAAAAUGUUUUGCUUCAGCACAAGUCAAUGAAUUCUGUUUUUUUGUGUAGACGAACCAAUCCGCCUGUGAUGGCGAGUAUGUGCAAAUAAUAAUCAAUCUAUAAAGAAUAUUAAAAACACAAAGGUAUAGUGAGAUUAGCCUUGAGGCUAGCCUUGAUGCUACUGUUUUUUUCUGCUUUGUUUGAAACUCAAAGGAGGUAAUAUGAGCCUUUAGCUCCCGGUUAAGGCAUACAAUGAUUUACUUAUGGAACUGUUUGCUAGCUUGAAGUAAUAUUGGGAGGGAUAUUGAUAUAUCGAGGGAUAUUGCUACACAGCGAACAUUGCAUGGAUUACCAAAGACCUAUCAAACGGUUUGAUAACGGCAAUCCAGGCUAUUCGCACCCAAUGGCAUCAAGGUCAACUUGCUAUCCACACAUAUUUGGAUAGAGGUGAGAAAUAAAAUCACAGAGAAUCUCCUUUCAUCAGGAUUUUUUUGAUGAAUACAAAAAUUUGAAAUGGGGAAAUUAUGUUGACAUUCUGGCAUUUUCAAUAAUGAUUUGACAUAACUCAUAAGGACUUUUUUUUCUUUUCGUAUUCUGUCACUUUGUUUGUCAGGAAACAUUGGCUAAUGCAACAGGGAAAUUAUAUGGGCACCGUGGUGGCGAUCAUCCUUUGAUAUAUUUCCCUUUCAUCAUUAAAAUGAAUUAAUCUUUGUUUACGGAAGGAAGAGAAAAAACAUUCUGCCCGCGCAAAACAAACAAUCAUUAGCAUAUCAAAUGUCUUCAGAUAGUGCUUUUGGAAUUUAAUGAUCUACUGGCUGAAUGAUGAAAUGAAGGUCACGUGAAAAUCAUCUCAGUCACAUAAUUUAUAUAAUUAAUGAAGGUUUCCCCUGUGUGGGGACGUCACACCAACAUGUCAACCCUAUGUUCUCAUAAAUGGCUUUUAUUUAUUAGGGAAACAUGACGGCAGCUUCAGUUCUGGCUACAAAUGGUCAUUGUCACAGGCUCCUACAAUGUAUUGAUUAUGCCUUACCCUGACCUUAAACACAACCUAUCCUUACUAACUUAAUUAUCCGUCAUCGAGUUAAGCCUAUUUCUAAAUCAACAUGCGCCUAAAGUAACGCAUUGGCUUUUUCAUAUUGGCCACUAGAUGGCAUCGCCUACUCACUUUUAUAAUUUCUCUCAACCACUCAACGUGGAUUUAAAUGAAAAGUUGGCGUUUUCAGCGUGAUCGGAGUAGACAAGGCUCAAGCGCUUCUAAACCUGAAUAUAGAACUUUCCUCGGCAUUUUGGCACACGAUUUCAAUUAUCUUUAUCCAGAAUAUUAAACUUUCCUCCACAUUUUGACCCACGACUGUCACUUUAUGACGGUUACUAACAUGACUCACGACUUUGCUCGGACCACUCCAUCCACACAGAUCAUACUUCUAAAGAAUGACCCUUUGCUUUGAAGAUAAGACAAGGACCCCCCCCCUCUUCAGACCAAGAGCCUUGUCCAAUGUUACAUAUUCCCUCCUGAAAAAAGGGGAUUUUGUGGGGCAACCCGAGAGGCCACUGUAUCCAUGACUGGCUCUGGCGGUC